RNAcentral lists this ribosomal RNA (489 nucleotides) under uncultured bacterium. RNAcentral's name for it is "partial 16S ribosomal RNA". It matches the Rfam family "Bacterial small subunit ribosomal RNA", at positions 30 to 507 of the family's 1533-position model. The record is from RNAcentral.
UUGAACGCUGGCGGCAGGCCUAACACAUGCAAGUCGAACGGUAACAGGAAACAGCUUGCUGUUUCGCUGACGAGUGGCGGACGGGUGAGUAAUGUCUGGGAAACUGCCUGAUGGAGGGGGAUAACUACUGGAAACGGUAGCUAAUACCGCAUAACGUCGCAAGACCAAAGAGGGGGACCUUCGGGCCUCUUGCCAUCGGGUGUGCCCAGAUGGGAUUAGCUAGUAGGUGGGGUAACGGCUCACCUAGGCGACGAUCCCUAGCUGGUCUGAGAGGAUGACCAGCCACACUGGAACUGAGACACGGUCCAGACUCCUACGGGAGGCAGCAGUGGGGAAUAUUGCACAAUGGGCGCAAGCCUGAUGCAGCCAUGCCGCGUGUAUGAAGAAGGCCUUCGGGUUGUAAAGUACUUUCAGCGGGGAGGAAGGGAGUAAAGUUAAUACCUUUACUCAUUGACGUUACCCGCAGAAGAAGCACCGGCUAACUCCGUG